RNAcentral lists this ribosomal RNA (463 nucleotides) under uncultured bacterium. RNAcentral describes it as "bacterial SSU rRNA". It matches the Rfam family "Bacterial small subunit ribosomal RNA", at positions 331 to 792 of the family's 1533-position model. The record is from RNAcentral.
CCAGACUCCUACGGGAGGCAGCAGUGAGGAAUAUUGGUCAAUGGCCGAGAGGCUGAACCAGCCAAGUCGCGUGAGGGAUGACGGUCCUAUGGAUUGUAAACCUCUUUUGUCAGGGAGCAAAGGGCGCCACGUGUGGCGCUUUGCGAGUACCUGAAGAAAAAGCAUCGGCUAACUCCGUGCCAGCAGCCGCGGUAAUACGGAGGAUGCGAGCGUUAUCCGGAUUUAUUGGGUUUAAAGGGUGCGCAGGCGGAGGUGCAAGUCAGCGGUCAAAUUGCGGGGCUCAACCCCGUACUGCCGUUGAAACUGGCGUUCUUGAGUGGGCGAGAAGUAUGCGGAAUGCGUGGUGUAGCGGUGAAAUGCAUAGAUAUCACGCAGAACUCCGAUUGCGAAGGCAGCAUACCGGCGCCCAACUGACGCUGAAGCACGAAAGCGUGGGUAUCGAACAGGAUUAGAUACCCCGGUA